This 2789-nucleotide ribosomal RNA is filed under the name Escherichia coli. RNAcentral's name for it is "bacterial LSU rRNA". It matches the Rfam family "Bacterial large subunit ribosomal RNA". Lineage: Bacteria; Pseudomonadati; Pseudomonadota; Gammaproteobacteria; Enterobacterales; Enterobacteriaceae. The record is from RNAcentral.
AGCGUACACGGUGGAUGCCCUGGCAGUCAGAGGCGAUGAAGGACGUGCUAAUCUGCGAUAAGCGUCGGUAAGGUGAUAUGAACCGUUAUAACCGGCGAUUUCCGAAUGGGGAAACCCAGUGUGAUUCGUCACACUAUCAUUAACUGAAUCCAUAGGUUAAUGAGGCGAACCGGGGGAACUGAAACAUCUAAGUACCCCGAGGAAAAGAAAUCAACCGAGAUUCCCCCAGUAGCGGCGAGCGAACGGGGAGCAGCCCAGAGCCUGAAUCAGUGUGUGUGUUAGUGGAAGCGUCUGGAAAGGCGCGCGAUACAGGGUGACAGCCCCGUACACAAAAAUGCACAUGCUGUGAGCUCGAUGAGUAGGGCGGGACACGUGGUAUCCUGUCUGAAUAUGGGGGGACCAUCCUCCAAGGCUAAAUACUCCUGACUGACCGAUAGUGAACCAGUACCGUGAGGGAAAGGCGAAAAGAACCCCGGCGAGGGGAGUGAAAAAGAACCUGAAACCGUGUACGUACAAGCAGUGGGAGCACAGAGCAAUCUGUGUGACUGCGUACCUUUUGUAUAAUGGGUCAGCGACUUAUAUUCUGUAGCAAGGUUAACCGAAUAGGGGAGCCGAAGGGAAACCGAGUCUUAACUGGGCGUUAAGUUGCAGGGUAUAGACCCGAAACCCGGUGAUCUAGCCAUGGGCAGGUUGAAGGUUGGGUAACACUAACUGGAGGACCGAACCGACUAAUGUUGAAAAAUUAGCGGAUGACUUGUGGCUGGGGGUGAAAGGCCAAUCAAACCGGGAGAUAGCUGGUUCUCCCCGAAAGCUAUUUAGGUAGCGCCUCGUGAAUUCAUCUCCGGGGGUAGAGCACUGUUUCGGCAAGGGGGUCAUCCCGACUUACCAACCCGAUGCAAACUGCGAAUACCGGAGAAUGUUAUCACGGGAGACACACGGCGGGUGCUAACGUCCGUCGUGAAGAGGGAAACAACCCAGACCGCCAGCUAAGGUCCCAAAGUCAUGGUUAAGUGGGAAACGAUGUGGGAAGGCCCAGACAGCCAGGAUGUUGGCUUAGAAGCAGCCAUCAUUUAAAGAAAGCGUAAUAGCUCACUGGUCGAGUCGGCCUGCGCGGAAGAUGUAACGGGGCUAAACCAUGCACCGAAGCUGCGGCAGCGACGCUUAUGCGUUGUUGGGUAGGGGAGCGUUCUGUAAGCCUGUGAAGGUGUACUGUGAGGUAUGCUGGAGGUAUCAGAAGUGCGAAUGCUGACAUAAGUAACGAUAAAGCGGGUGAAAAGCCCGCUCGCCGGAAGACCAAGGGUUCCUGUCCAACGUUAAUCGGGGCAGGGUGAGUCGACCCCUAAGGCGAGGCCGAAAGGCGUAGUCGAUGGGAAACAGGUUAAUAUUCCUGUACUUGGUGUUACUGCGAAGGGGGGACGGAGAAGGCUAUGUUGGCCGGGCGACGGUUGUCCCGGUUUAAGCGUGUAGGCUGGUUUUCCAGGCAAAUCCGGAAAAUCAAGGCUGAGGCGUGAUGACGAGGCACUACGGUGCUGAAGCAACAAAUGCCCUGCUUCCAGGAAAAGCCUCUAAGCAUCAGGUAACAUCAAAUCGUACCCCAAACCGACACAGGUGGUCAGGUAGAGAAUACCAAGGCGCUUGAGAGAACUCGGGUGAAGGAACUAGGCAAAAUGGUGCCGUAACUUCGGGAGAAGGCACGCUGAUAUGUAGGUGAAGUCCCUCGCGGAUGGAGCUGAAAUCAGUCGAAGAUACCAGCUGGCUGCAACUGUUUAUUAAAAACACAGCACUGUGCAAACACGAAAGUGGACGUAUACGGUGUGACGCCUGCCCGGUGCCGGAAGGUUAAUUGAUGGGGUUAGCGCAAGCGAAGCUCUUGAUCGAAGCCCCGGUAAACGGCGGCCGUAACUAUAACGGUCCUAAGGUAGCGAAAUUCCUUGUCGGGUAAGUUCCGACCUGCACGAAUGGCGUAAUGAUGGCCAGGCUGUCUCCACCCGAGACUCAGUGAAAUUGAACUCGCUGUGAAGAUGCAGUGUACCCGCGGCAAGACGGAAAGACCCCGUGAACCUUUACUAUAGCUUGACACUGAACAUUGAGCCUUGAUGUGUAGGAUAGGUGGGAGGCUUUGAAGUGUGGACGCCAGUCUGCAUGGAGCCGACCUUGAAAUACCACCCUUUAAUGUUUGAUGUUCUAACGUGGACCCGUAAUCCGGGUUGCGGACAGUGUCUGGUGGGUAGUUUGACUGGGGCGGUCUCCUCCUAAAGAGUAACGGAGGAGCACGAAGGUUGGCUAAUCCUGGUCGGACAUCAGGAGGUUAGUGCAAUGGCAUAAGCCAGCUUGACUGCGAGCGUGACGGCGCGAGCAGGUGCGAAAGCAGGUCAUAGUGAUCCGGUGGUUCUGAAUGGAAGGGCCAUCGCUCAACGGAUAAAAGGUACUCCGGGGAUAACAGGCUGAUACCGCCCAAGAGUUCAUAUCGACGGCGGUGUUUGGCACCUCGAUGUCGGCUCAUCACAUCCUGGGGCUGAAGUAGGUCCCAAGGGUAUGGCUGUUCGCCAUUUAAAGUGGUACGCGAGCUGGGUUUAGAACGUCGUGAGACAGUUCGGUCCCUAUCUGCCGUGGGCGCUGGAGAAUUGAGGGGGGCUGCUCCUAGUACGAGAGGACCGGAGUGGACGCAUCACUGGUGUUCGGGUUGUCAUGCCAAUGGCACUGCCCGGUAGCUAAAUGCGGAAGAGAUAAGUGCUGAAAGCAUCUAAGCACGAAACUUGCCCCGAGAUGAGUUCUCCCUGACUCCUUGA